CUGUUUCAAUAUUAGAGUUGAGAGUCUAUACCACAGUAAGAGAACAAGGAAGUUCCAUUUACUUUCCAGAGGUAAUAUUUGUAAACUCAAAGACAUUAAAAAGAGAAAAAUGGCUGAGAUGCUAUAUUCAUCCUAAUAGUGUUUAUGUAAGUCUGGUGAAACACAUUUACCUUUAAGAGCCACAUAAAUGCUUUGCAAAUAUCUGUAAAGUUCAGGAGAAAGCCUCAAAGCCCUCGUUAUUUUUGUGACAGUGAUAGGUGAAUGAUAAACCCCUUUGCUAUGUAAGGAACUUUGAAGCAAGAAUAAAGUCUCAACCUUUAGAAAAUUAACCUUUGCAGACAUUCUUUGCUGUCACUAAUAUGUAGGUUAUCACAUUGGCCAAAUUUCUCCUCAAGGUAUGGCAGUCCCACAUUUUCACUGCUCAGCUUGUUCAGUACUGUCUAAUUAACAGCUAUUCCUCUCUUUUCAGGUCUUUUCUUACUUGAAUGUUAGUUUCUAUAGCAGAGUCCCAGAUAGUCAGCGACCCUGCAGCAAUGAUCAAGAAAAGGGCUCCAACAGCUGGUGUGAACAUUCUGAAGCCAAUUAGCUCAUGGUUCAUUCCUCUCCCAUCCUCCAUCACAGCAAAUGAAGACUGCCUCCUCUUGCCUUUAUCCUAUAGUCCUGGUCAUGCUUCUUGUCUUUUAGGACAUACAAACCACUAUUUCCUUUUUGUUCUGCCUUUAAACUUGGGGAGGGGAGAGUAGAGAAAUAAGGUGGGGGUGCGAGAGCCUCUUUUUUAUUUGUUGUUGUUGUUGUUUACAGGUACAUAAAUGAUAUAUGAAGGUUCAUUUUAAAAAUCUGAACAAAAAAGAAGUGUAUACUAUGAAUAUUAAAUGUUCUCUUCUACUUUGACCUACACCCUAUUCCAUAUCCUUCCCUUCCCUAAAACUAGCCCCUUUAACAUGAAGUACGUUGUUCUGAUACUUCUUUAUACUUCUUCUUGAUGCUAAGACAUCCUUUUUCUAGGCAUUUGCAUAUCUAUUACUGGAAAUGACACGUUAAAAUGAAAUUUUCUAGGUCUUAACAUUUUAACUGAAGACUCAGUCUUAAUUAUCUCAAAGCCAAGAAAAUGGGGUGCCAAUUAAGGGCAAAUUAUAAGUUAAACUUUUAAACCAUUUGCAAAGAGGGUGGCUACGUCUAGCUCAACGACUGGCUUGUCCUCAGUUACAUGACAGGUUAUACCCUCUUUUUUCUCAAAAAAAAGAACAUAGAAAUCACGUCACAGCAUACUAAAUAUCCCUUUAAAGAAAUUCAUAUUCUCCAAUUCCUUUAGAAACCUAAUGGAUUCUACCAUUCUUUUAUAUAUUUGGAGGUAAAUAAUAGGCAAAACUUGGGAUAAGCAGUUGUAGAACUUGGCCUUUUGGAGUCUGAGAAUAUGGUCUGAUAAAAACUUGAAAUCUCCACCGGGCAUGGUGGCUCACGCCCAUAAUCCCAGCACUUUGGGAGUCUGAGGCAGCCAGGUCGCCUGAGGUCAGGAGUUCCAGACAAGCCUGGCCAACAUGGUGAAACCUGUCUCAACU
RNAcentral lists this long non-coding RNA (1559 nucleotides) under Homo sapiens (human). RNAcentral describes it as "HSALNT0040623". The record is from RNAcentral. Lineage: Eukaryota; Metazoa; Chordata; Mammalia; Primates; Hominidae.